This 469-nucleotide ribosomal RNA is filed under the name uncultured bacterium. RNAcentral's name for it is "partial 16S ribosomal RNA". It matches the Rfam family "Bacterial small subunit ribosomal RNA", at positions 28 to 507 of the family's 1533-position model. The record is from RNAcentral.
GAUGAACGCUGGCGGCGCGCCUAACACAUGCAAGUCGAACGGUUAAAGCACCUUUUAGGUGUGUAUAAAGUGGCGAACGGCUGAGUAACACGUGGGCAACCUGCCCUCCUCUUGGGGAUAGCCUCGGGAAACCGAGGAUAAUACCCGAUACUUCAAUGUGGCCGCAUGACGACAUUGAGAAAGCUUUUGCGGAGAAGGAUGGGCCCGCGGCCUGUUAGCUUGUUGGUGGGGUAGAGGCCUACCAAGGCAAUGAUGGGUAGCUGGGUUGAGAGACCGACCAGCCAGAUUGGGACUGAGACACGGCCCAGACUCCUACGGGAGGCAGCAGUGGGGAAUCUUGCACAAUGGGCGAAAGCCGGAUGCAGCGACGCCGCGUGCGGGACGAAGGCCUUCGGGUUGUAAACCGCUUUCAGCAGGGACGAGGCGAUAAGUGACGGUACCUGCAGAAGAAGCCCCGGCUAACUACGUG